CCUUCGGUAACUCAGUUGGAAGAGUGCACGGCUGUAAACCGUGAGGUCGCUGGUUCGAUCCCGGCCCGAAGGA
This 73-nucleotide transfer RNA is filed under the name Cladonia macilenta KoLRI003786. RNAcentral describes it as "tRNA-Tyr (GTA) (tRNA-Tyr-GTA-1-1)". It matches the Rfam family "tRNA". Rfam says of the family: Transfer RNA (tRNA) molecules are approximately 80 nucleotides in length. Their secondary structure includes four short double-helical elements and three loops (D, anti-codon, and T loops). Lineage: Eukaryota; Fungi; Ascomycota; Lecanoromycetes; Lecanorales; Cladoniaceae. The record is from RNAcentral. RNAcentral also lists the same sequence under 1 other name.